Equus caballus (horse) is the source of this 2022-nucleotide long non-coding RNA. The record is from Ensembl. Lineage: Eukaryota; Metazoa; Chordata; Mammalia; Perissodactyla; Equidae.
GUUGCUAUGUAGUACUCUGUCCUAGGUGCUAGGGACUGAAUCUUUGUGGUUGCCCCUCCCACUUCAUGAGCAGAAGCCCCAGUCCCCAUUGUGAUGGUAUUGGGAGGUGAGGCCCUCAUGAUGGCAUUCAUGCCCUAUUAGAAGGGGAGGAGUUAUGAAAUGUUCUGCUUCAGAUCAUCCAAUAUGUAUGAUUUUUCUGUUGGGGUCUAUCCCUUGGAAUGGAAAUGUUGGGUCAUAAAGUGUGUCUAUUUUCAGCCUUGGUAGAAACUACCAUUGUUUUUCAAAGUGUUUGUAGCAAUCAACACUCCCAGCAAUAGUGUACAUGAGUUCCACUUGCUCCAUAUCCUUGCCAACACUUGAUGUUGUCAGUCUUUUGAAUUUUAGCCAUUCUGGUGGAUGUGUAGUGAGAACUCAUUGUGUAUGUAUGUGUGUGUGUUCUUUUUAUUUUGAGAUAAUUGAAGAUUCACAUGUAGUUUGUAAGAAAGUACAAGGAGUUCCCAUGGACUCUCUGCUCAGUUUCCCUCCAUAAUAAUAUCUUGAAUAACUGUAGUACAAUGUCACGACCAGGAGACUGACACUCAUACAAUCCACGAGGGUUUGUCCAAUUUCACUUGACUUUGUGCAUGUGUGUUGUCUAAUUUUAUGUAAUUUUACCACAUGUGUAGACUCAAUAACCAUCACCACAGUCAGGACACAGAACGGUCCUGUCACCAGAACCCCUCCUGUCCCCUCCUACAUCCACUGCACCUCCUUCCCUUCCACACACCCUCAUCCCUGCAGCCACGAAUCUGGUCUCCGUCUCCGUCAUUUUGCCAUUUCAAGAACGUUAAACACAUGGAAUCAUACAGUAUGGAAAAUGUGGAGAUUUGUUUUUCUACUCAGCAUAAUUCUCUUGCGAGCCAUCAAGUUGCCAUGUGUCAGAAUCAUUCCUUUUAUUGCUGAGUAGCAUUCCAGGAAUGAGCUUUUAAAAAGACAAUAAGCAUAUAUUCUCAAACAAUCAUUGAUGGUGGUUUCAUUGAUUUCUUCAUUCACACAGGAUGAUAAAAUAGAUUGUCUCAUGUUCUUUCAUUUGUUCAUUAAUUACACCAGCAUUUAUUAAGUACCAACUGAGUGCCAAGCACUGCGCCAGAUCCUGGGCACCCAAGAGACGUAAAAGGACUCUGCCUGGAGGGAUUUUUCCUAGAGUCUAUGUGGGGAGACAGGCUUAUCAAUUUAAUAAGACAAUCCAGCAUUACAGAUGCCAUGACGGUGAUAGAUACAUUUCAUUUAGGAAUAAAGAAGAAAACCUCUGACUCCAAGAGGAUGGGGAUGGAGAAUGAGUCCAGGAGAUACUUUGUAGGGGCAUGACGCAUAAGCCAAGUCUUGGAAGGUGGAUGGUCUGCCUGAUGGCUUUGAGUGAGAGAGGAAGAAGGAGCAAGAACAGCCGGGGUAUAAAACGGAGUUGAGAAGGAGUCUGUACUCAAUGCAGAACUUAGCACACCGUGCUGGCUAAGCCCGAGAAGUGGGUGGGGCUGCUGAAGAGAAGGACAGUUGGGGAAUGUUACCGUUUUUCAGGAACAUACAUUAUCGGAGACACAGAUUCAAGUUGUUGCCCAGAUGCACUCAGAAACGGGGCACAUUCAUUAAGAGAACGGCCAGACGGCUUCCUCUUUGGGUGCUUGUUUGCCUACAUUUAAUGAAUGAAUAAAUAACAUGCCUAUUCAUUACCAACUUUUGAGUGGAAAUAAUUGCUGGGUUUCCUCAUUUGCUUGGAAUAAUGUUCUCUGCGUUUGGAGCGACUUCUGUCUCGGUCACGGCAGUAUUUCCUGGUCAAGGGGCCAGAGGUGUCCUCCAGGGGCUGACGUUCACCUCCGGCUCACCUUUGAGAGAAGCAAUCACUCUUCUUAUUUACCUUGCUUCGUGCACGAUGCUGAGAGUCAGGGCUCAGAGCCAGGCUACGUGGAGUUGAUUUUCUCCUUCAGCCCUUAUUAGCUUGCAAGCUAAUUGACCUCGCUGUGCCUCAGUUUCCUCAUCUGUCAGCUG